UGCUAACACAUGCAAGUCGAUGAUGAAACCGCUUCGGUGGUGGAUUAGUGGCGAACGGGUGAGUAACACGUGGGCAAUCUGCCCUUCACUCUGGGACAAGCCCUGGAAACGGGGUCUAAUACCGGAUAAUACUCCUGCCUGCAUGGGUGGGGGUUGAAAGCUCCGGCGGUGAAGGAUGAGCCCGCGGCCUAUCAGCUUGUUGGUGGGGUAAUGGCCUACCAAGGCGACGACGGGUAGCCGGCCUGAGAGGGCGACCGGCCACACUGGGACUGAGACACGGCCCAGACUCCUACGGGAGGCAGCAGUGGGGAAUAUUGCACAAUGGGCGAAAGCCUGAUGCAGCGACGCCGCGUGAGGGAUGACGGCCUUCGGGUUGUAAACCUCUUUCAGCAGGGAAGAAGCGCAAGUGACGGUACCUGCAGAAGAAGCGCCGGCUAACUACGUGCCAGCAGCCGCGGUAAUACGUAGGGCGCAAGCGUUGUCCGGAAUUAUUGGGCGUAAAGAGCUCGUAGGCGGCUUGUCACGUCGGAUGUGAAAGCCCGGGGCUUAACCCCGGGUCUGCAUUCGAUACGGGCUAACUAGAGUGUGGUAGGGGAGAUCGGAAUUCCUGGUGUAGCGGUGAAAUGCGCAGAUAUCAGGAGGAACACCGGUGGCGAAGGCGGAUCUCUGGGCAUUACUG
RNAcentral lists this ribosomal RNA (679 nucleotides) under Streptomyces sp. WAL12. Its description in RNAcentral is "bacterial SSU rRNA". It matches the Rfam family "Bacterial small subunit ribosomal RNA", at positions 45 to 742 of the family's 1533-position model. The record is from RNAcentral. Lineage: Bacteria; Bacillati; Actinomycetota; Actinomycetes; Kitasatosporales; Streptomycetaceae.